RNAcentral lists this ribosomal RNA (100 nucleotides) under Clostridium argentinense. RNAcentral's name for it is "partial 16S ribosomal RNA". It matches the Rfam family "Bacterial small subunit ribosomal RNA", at positions 1443 to 1533 of the family's 1533-position model. Lineage: Bacteria; Bacillati; Bacillota; Clostridia; Eubacteriales; Clostridiaceae. The record is from RNAcentral.
AAGGAGCCAGCGGCCGAAGGUGGGAUUAGUGAUUGGGGUGAAGUCGUAACAAGGUAGCCGUAGGAGAACCUGCGGCUGGAUCACCUCCUUUCUAGGGAGU